GGGGAUGCAGCUCUGUGGUAGAGCGCUUGCCUGCAUGCGUGAGGUCCUGGGUUCAAUCCCCGGCAUCACCA
This 71-nucleotide transfer RNA is filed under the name Ictidomys tridecemlineatus (thirteen-lined ground squirrel). RNAcentral describes it as "Spermophilus tridecemlineatus (thirteen-lined ground squirrel) tRNA". It matches the Rfam family "tRNA". Rfam says of the family: Transfer RNA (tRNA) molecules are approximately 80 nucleotides in length. Their secondary structure includes four short double-helical elements and three loops (D, anti-codon, and T loops). The record is from Rfam by way of RNAcentral. Lineage: Eukaryota; Metazoa; Chordata; Mammalia; Rodentia; Sciuridae.